GUUAACCAUACACGGCGUAAAAGAGUGGGCUAAAACUAUCACACCGAACUAAGAUCAAACCAUGCCCCAAGCCGUCAUAAGCUUAAGGCACCCCUAAGCCCAACCUGAAGACGAUCUUAACAGCCGCGACCCAUUCCACCCCACAAAGCCAGGACACAAACUGGGAUUAGAUACCCCACUAUGCCUAGCCCUAAAUCUUGAUGCCCUCCAACCACGAACAUCCGCCCGAGAACUACGAGCACAAACGCUUAAAACUCUAAGGACUUGGCGGUGCUCUAAACCCACCUAGAGGAGCCUGUUCUAUAAUCGAUAACCCACGAUUCACCCGACCAUUUCUCGCCAACACAGCCUAUAUACCGCCGUCGCCAGCCCACCUCAUGAGAGCACAACAGUGAGCCCAACAGCCCACAACCCGCUAACAAGACAGGUCAAGGUAUAGCCUAUGAAAUGGAAGAAAUGGGCUACAUUUUCUAAAGUAGAACAACCCCAACGGAAGGGGGCCUGAAACCUGCCCCCAGAAGGCGGAUUUAGCAGUAAAGCAGGACAACCAAGCCUCCUUUAAACUGGUCCUAGAGCACGUACACACCGCCCGUCACCCUCUCACAGGCCACAAUACACUACUAUAAACCAACGCG
RNAcentral lists this ribosomal RNA (635 nucleotides) under Pyrrhura leucotis (Maroon-faced parakeet). RNAcentral describes it as "partial 12S ribosomal RNA". It matches the Rfam family "Bacterial small subunit ribosomal RNA", at positions 540 to 1442 of the family's 1533-position model. The record is from RNAcentral. Lineage: Eukaryota; Metazoa; Chordata; Aves; Psittaciformes; Psittacidae.